Molecule: ribosomal RNA, 200 nt
Filed under: uncultured prokaryote
Description: partial 16S ribosomal RNA
Rfam family: Bacterial small subunit ribosomal RNA
Source: RNAcentral
ACGUCAAAUCAUCAUGCCUCUUACGUCCAGGGCUACAGGCGUGCUACAAUGGCCGGUAUAAUAAGAUGCAAUGUCGUGAGGCGGAGCAAAUCUCCAAAACCGGUCCCAGUUCAGAUUGAAGUCUGCAACUCGACUUCAUGAAGUUGGAAUCGCUAGUAAUCCCAGAUCAGAAUGCUGGGGUGAAUACGUUCCCGGGUGUU